GACGAACGCUGGCGGCGUGCCUAAUACAUGCAAGUAGAACGCUGAAGGAGGAGCUUGCUUCUCUGGAUGAGUUGCGAACGGGUGAGUAACGCGUAGGUAACCUGCCUGGUAGCGGGGGAUAACUAUUGGAAACGAUAGCUAAUACCGCAUAAGAGUAGAUGUUGCAUGACAUUUGCUAAAAAGGUGCAAUUGCAUCACUACCAGAUGGACCUGCGUUGUAUUAGGUAGUGGGUGGGGUAACGGCUCACCAAGGCGACGAUACAUAGCGGACCUGGGAGGGGGAUCGGCCACACUGGGACUGAGACACGGCCCAGACUCCUACGGGAGGCAGCAGUAGGGAAUCUUCGGCAAUGGACGGAAGUCUGACCGAGCAACGCCGCGUGAGUGAAGAAGGUUUUCGGAUCGUAAAGCUCUGUUGUAAGAGAAGAACGAGUGUGAGAGUGGAAAGUUCACACUGUGACGGUAUCUUACCAGAAAGGGACGGCUAACUACGUG
RNAcentral lists this ribosomal RNA (495 nucleotides) under uncultured bacterium. RNAcentral's name for it is "partial 16S ribosomal RNA". It matches the Rfam family "Bacterial small subunit ribosomal RNA", at positions 28 to 507 of the family's 1533-position model. The record is from RNAcentral.